UACGUAGGGGGCGAGCGUUGUCCGGAAUUACUGGGCGUAAAGGGCUCGUAGGUGGCCAACUAAGUCAGACGUGAAAUCCCUCGGCUUAACCGGGGAACUGCGUCUGAUACUGGAUGGCUUGAGUUCGGGAGAGGGAUGCGGAAUUCCAGGUGUAGCGGUGAAAUGCGUAGAUAUCUGGAGGAACACCGGUGGCGAAGGCGGCAUCCUGGACCGACACUGACGCUGAGGAGCGAAAGCCAGGGGAGCAAACGGG
RNAcentral lists this ribosomal RNA (253 nucleotides) under uncultured bacterium. RNAcentral describes it as "partial 16S ribosomal RNA". It matches the Rfam family "Bacterial small subunit ribosomal RNA", at positions 524 to 776 of the family's 1533-position model. The record is from RNAcentral.